AAAUUAGAUUAUGAUAUUGAACUAUAUAUACAUCCGGUUUGAUCUGGGUCAAUUCAAACAUUAUCUUGUCCGACUCAAAUCUAAUUAUUUAUGUAUUUAACAAUUAAAACGGGCUGACCCGAUUUAGCAAACGGUCAAACCCCGGUCGAACCAUCAAACCCUGGACCCAUAGCCUCAACCGUUCGAUCUUCGAUCUGGUUCUGAAAAUAUUAGUAAACAUUGGAAUACAAAACAGGUUAUUACAAAACAAUUAUCAAUAUUAUCCAAAUAGGCAUAUCACAUAAAGAAUUCACCUUUAUGUAAAUCCUAACGUACAAGUACAUCAUCCAUAACAAAUAUUCAUCAACAAGUAAGCAUCAUCAUAAAUUAUAAUGCAACUCAAUCAAGUUAGGUUCAUUAUGAAUGGUAAUAUCAUAGUUUUCAAAUAAUUCAUAUAAUAGUUAUCAUAAUCAUAAUGUUAAUUCUUAUACUUAUUCUUAACCUUAUGCAAGGUAUUUGAUUCUUACUUCUCACGAGGUCCCCCAACUCAACUAACUAGCCCUACCGCCAAUUUGUAAGAUUCGUAAAUGUCCCGGACCACAUAUCCAUCAGAAAAUAAUUAAUAAGGGCAAAACCAGCCUGAUUCAUAAUUCGUAAAGGCACUACCGGUCAAAUUCAUAAUUCGUAAGGGCAAUUCUAGCUCGAGUCAUGUGGGCGAUAAUCUAGGUAGUGAGUUCGUAUUUUAAUCCACCUAGUAUUCAUCUAGGUGAGGUGUUUUUGUUCACUGCUCACUCGUCGUAUCUAAACUUAUCAUCUGCUAACGUUAUCGUUAGUCUAGCCUUAUCAUAAAUUAAAGUCACAUCACUUUGCAACAUAAAAAUAAUAACAACCUAACUACAGCAACGUAAAGAAUUUAUCCCCUUAAACCAAACCACCUUUGAAAACGAACGGAGAGUGUACAACGUGAGGGGUCGAGAUUUAAGCUAAAAGCUUGGACGUCUUAUGAACCUAAAAACGAGGAAACUAGAUCAAACUAAAUUCUAUUGAAACGUGAAACGAGCUUAGGGCGACGAUUUGGAGGAAAUCACUUCAUAAAUGAUCAUAAAGUGAGCGGAGAGGAUUCACUUCAUAAAUGAUCAUAAAGUGAUUUCCUUCCCUUUAAUCUACAAUCUCAUGGAAAAAAAUUUCUAAUUUCUUUUACUUAAAAUAAAUCAUACCAAUUAACUAUUUAUCAAUUUAUUCAAUAGAUAUUAUUAAUUUAUAAUCAUAUUGAUCCUAUUCCCAAAUGGUUCUUAUGGACUAAUUCACAUUAACCGAAUUCUUAUAAUUAAGUAUAAGUUCUAUUCAUAAUAAAAUGUACCUAAUCAUGCUAGAAAAAUGUUAAUAAUCUAUUCUCGAUUUAACUGCGCCUAAAAACUAUUAGGAAUAGAUAGUUAUUAUCACACUCAUAUUAUUUAAAAUUACCUAAUCAAUGUAUUGAUUAAUCAUAAUAAAAUACUAUAACCUUGUAAAGUCAUGAAAACAAUAGGGAUCACAGUAUUAACUAGUACUAUAUAUUGACCAUCUUAAAAUCCAAUUUAGAGCUAAUUCUAGGAUUUAAUGGAUUUUGAAAGUUAUUCGGGUACAUUCUAUCAUAACCUAAAAGGUAUAGGUCGAGGAAGGACAAUUAUUCAAUUAAGGACUGAACUAUCUGAUUCUGAAAGUUCUAUGUACGUAAUGUCAUUUCUAAAACUACAGGUUCUGAACUGAAUUACUGGAAGUCCUGUGACCAAAUUGUGAUAACCAAAACCUCCAGGGACUGUAUCGGAAACUUCCCCUAUCAUCUUCUUCCUAGAAACUUGAAAAGCACGCAGAAUUCUGGCCAAUUCAGUCCAGAAUCCGACGAGGACCAAUAAUUAUCAAACUUCGAUUUAAACGGAACCUUAACAAACUAGAAGGCUGCCUGACCUUCGUUCGAAUCAUUCUCGAUGCUUUAUAGAGGUUGAAGCCUCGAAAUACCGAUCGGAAAACGCUAUGGACGAACUCUGUUUCUUAUGGGUACCCGUUUAUGGCUCGCGAUUAACAUGGGAAAGGUCGUCGUCGACGGGAAGUUUGCUUCUGGAAGCAAACAAGAAUCGACGAGAUUUAAACAAUGCGAUCAAAUGAAUCGAUCUAUUAAUGAAUAGGAAGAGGGAUAUGCAAGGGAUUCGUUACCUACGUUUCCAAAGUUCUUGGACGGCGUUGUUGAUCGAAUUACAGAGAAGGAGAAACUUGUAUGAGUAGG
RNAcentral lists this long non-coding RNA (2242 nucleotides) under Linum usitatissimum (flax). RNAcentral's name for it is "long non-coding RNA (LUSI_LNC002419)". Lineage: Eukaryota; Viridiplantae; Streptophyta; Magnoliopsida; Malpighiales; Linaceae. The record is from RNAcentral.